GUAGGGUGCAAGCGUUAAUCGGAAUUACUGGGCGUAAAGCGUGCGCAGGCGGGUUUUGUAAGUCUGUCGUGAAAGCCCCCGGGGCUCAACCUGGGAAUUGCGACGGAGACUGCAAGGCUUGAAUCUGGCAGAGGGGGGUAGAAUUCCACGUGUAGCAGUGAAAUGCGUAGAGAUGUGGAGGAACACCGAUGGCGAAGGCAGCCCCCUGGGUCAAGAUUGACGCUCAUGCACGAAAGCGUGGGGAGCAAACAGGAUUAGAUACCCUGGUAGUCCACGCCCUAAACGAUGUCUACUAGUUGUCGGGUUUUAAUUAACUUGGUAACGCAGCUAACGCGUGAAGUAGACCGCCUGGGGAGUACGGUCGCAAAGAUUAA
Molecule: ribosomal RNA, 374 nt
Filed under: uncultured organism
Description: partial 16S ribosomal RNA
Rfam family: Bacterial small subunit ribosomal RNA
Source: RNAcentral